Molecule: long non-coding RNA, 642 nt
Filed under: Nicotiana benthamiana
Lineage: Eukaryota; Viridiplantae; Streptophyta; Magnoliopsida; Solanales; Solanaceae
Description: long non-coding RNA (NBEN_LNC024973)
Source: RNAcentral
GAUGUCGGAAAGUCACCCAAAACAUCCAGUGAGUGAGGAUCGAGCCACCAGAUAGCAGUAAAACCCUAGGUUCAACCACCAGAAACCCUAGAAGCUGGUAAGUCACCGAAAGAUCACCCAAAAAUCACAGGAAAAUCUCCCAGAACGUUCGAGUGAAGAAGAUAUACUCAGGUAUCACGAUGCAAGUCUCCCAAAAGCAUCCGAUUUAGAUCGGAAUCGUCAUCGACCACAUGCGUCAGAAACACCCCCAAAAAUCUCAAACGAGACUUCAACCAACAUAACAAGAUGCAGAAAAACAUAGUCGGAUCAUCGUCUAUGCUCUGAUACCAUGAAAACAUUAAGAUUAAACUGAAGAAUCAUGGAGAAUAUAGUGAGAAAAACAAGAGAACGAAAGGGGUAGUAGAGAGAAGGAUCGAGAAGAUCCAAGAGAGAAGAUUUUUAUUAAACACAAAAUGAAUUUCCUAUCUAAAAUAUCUGACCCUAUACUUAAAAACAUAGUCGGAUCAUCGUCUAGGCUCUGAUACCAUGAAAACAUUAAGAUUAAACUAAAGAAUCAUGGAAAAUAUAGUUAGAGAAACAAGAGAGAGAAAGGGGUAGUUGAGAGAAGGAUCGAGAAGAUCCAGAGAGAAGAUUUUAUUAAAC